This 1798-nucleotide long non-coding RNA is filed under the name Manacus vitellinus (golden-collared manakin). Its description in RNAcentral is "lncRNA (ENSMVIG00005007448.1)". Lineage: Eukaryota; Metazoa; Chordata; Aves; Passeriformes; Pipridae. The record is from RNAcentral.
GGUUGCUUUAGUAGAAAAUGGCACUGACACAGCUUUUGGGAGGUAUUCAUUAAACUUGUUCACAGCUCAAAGCAUGUUGCUUUAGAUGCUCUUGGUUUACCUUUCAUGCAAUUUCUGCAUGGAAAGAGGAAAGGUUUCUUUACUUAGCACUUAAAAGUUAACUCCCGAUUUGAUAAAAGGCUGAAUGUUCUGGAAAUCACUGUUGUUGCAUCAGUUAAAUGUGGAACCACUUGGAAUUUUAAGAUUUUCCAUUUUACUGCAGGUGAUGGCAAUAUCACACCCUUAUUUCAGUCUACUUACAGGUAUUUAAAAACUGCUUUUUCUUUCCUGUUAUCCUUGAAUCGUAACAACAAUACAUUAACUUCCUUUUGUGAAACGCAGCACGAGCAAAUUGAAAGCCUGCCAAUUAACAAAACCCACACUCGUUUUCACUUCUGUCAGUUUGAGAAGAGAACAUGAAAUGCUACUUAUAUUUAGAUUCCCCUGUAUUCACAGCAUGAAUCAGAGGAUCAGUCCAAAUUCACAAGCUAAUUAAUGCAUUUGUUCCCUAUCAAAUUCAACUCUCAGAAGGCCUCUUAUUCCAGCCAAAAAUAAAUGCUGACGACAGUUUUGGUUUUCAAGCGUCUCUGCAAGUCAGGAGCAGGAACCUGCUCUUCAGUUUCUUUUAUGUAAACAGUGUUGCUUUUAGCUGGACAUACAACAGUCUGUGCUUUGCUAGCUGGUAUGUCUGCAAUCACGAACUGAGGUAUUGAAAAGGGAGGGGGGCACUGCUGCUAAAGCCAAAGUGCAAGAUGGACAGUUCUAGAUGGAAAUCUGCUUCGAGGCUCUCCAUCUGAUCUUGUUCACCUGUACGCAUUUAACUCAGAGAAACAGUUCCUGCAGGCAGGAAGGGAAAUAGAAUGCCUAAGGCAGUGAGCGAUUAAAACUGUAGUUCGACAUGCGUGGUGCCCCUUUUUACAGGCUGGCUGCUGCUCGGCAGAUGGAAAUUUUCCAGGCUGCCAGAAGAAAAGGGGGGGGAAAAAAAAGGAAGCCCGGAAGAAAACGAAGGCAUGCCUGCUGCCCCGGGGGAUCCGACGUAUGUGAAAAGGAAUGUACAACUCCAAGUGCACUUGCCUCGCGUGCCUUCCCAACCCCACAGAUGCAGGCAGGACCGAAGGCUGUUAAUCCUAAAUCACAGUGUGAACAGCGAAUGAGACGCUGGAGUGCAUCUUGUCCAAUGUGCUGCUUUACGUCUGGGCUGAAAAUGCAGAGCCGGAGUGGAGGAUCCUUUCCACAUGCUGCAGCAUCCAUAAGCAGGCUCUGGGCAGGUGGGAAGGAGACCCAGCUGUUCCACAAGACAUCUCUGAAGGGGCUGAUAACCAAUAUUCCUGGCACACUGGAGACAUGGAUCCCUGGUCUUAAUUUCAGGGAAGCCAAGACCAGAAGACCAGCAAUGAGGGUCAGCAUUAAUACCCUGUGCAAGGUGAGUUGAAUUGCUUGCUGUUUCUGCAAGAUUUAUACCUCCUCUUCUCCAUAGGCACCUCAUCCCUUUUUCCUUUACUUCAGCACUGAGGCCUCUUCUUACCACAAGUCACAAUGUACCUAUUUCUGAAUUCAGCAUAUUACUGCAUGAACCUUUGGAAAAGCAGCACUUUUAGAUUUCUUUUAACUAACACAUUUUAAAUGGCAUGUUAUUAAAUGUUGCUUAUCACUUGUUGACCACAUAGGAACGCUUGACCUUUGCCCAAACUACAUUAAAAUAUUUGACAAAGCCAUGCAAAAUAUUUUCCUUAUUUCUUACUGAAAUUUCAGAAACAUC